GGGCUCGCAAUAUGAGGCCUGGCUUUCGCGGCCGGCUGAAGUAUUUUUUUCACCCAUGUCUUUUGCGCACUUGUUGUUUCCUGGGCGGGUUCGCCCGCCACCAGGACCAAACCAUAAACCUUUUUUUUCUUAUGCAGUUUCCAUCAGCGUCAGUAAAAACAAUGUAAUUAUUACAACUUUCAACAACGGAUCUCUUGGUUCUGGCAUCGAUGAAGAACGCAGCGAAAUGCGAUACGUAGUGUGAAUUGCAGAAUUCAGUGAAUCAUCGAAUCUUUGAACGCACAUUGCGCCCUUUGGUAUUCCAAAGGGCAUGCCUGUUCGAGCGUCAUUUGUACCUUCAAGCUUUGCUUGGUGUUGGGCGUUUUUUUGUCUCCCUCUUUCUGGGAGACUCGCCUUAAAACGAUUGGCAGCCGGCCUACUGGUUUCGGAGCGCAGCACAUUUUUUGCGCUUUGUAUCAGGAGAAAAGGACGGUACUCCAUCAAGACUCUACAUUUUUCACUUUUGACCUCGGAUCAGGUAGGGAUACCCGCUGAACUUAAGCAUAUCAAAAGUGGGAAGGAAA
RNAcentral lists this ribosomal RNA (563 nucleotides) under Bipolaris oryzae. Its description in RNAcentral is "eukaryotic LSU rRNA". The stretch from base 175 to 328 matches the Rfam family "5.8S ribosomal RNA". The record is from RNAcentral. Lineage: Eukaryota; Fungi; Ascomycota; Dothideomycetes; Pleosporales; Pleosporaceae.